GAUGAACGCUAGCUACAGGCUUAACACAUGCAAGUCGAGGGGAAACGGCAUCGAAAGCUUGCUUUUGAUGGGCGUCGACCGGCGCACGGGUGAGUAACGCGUAUCCAACCUGCCCAUCACUUGGGAAUAACCUUGCGAAAGUAAGACUAAUGCCCAAUGACAUCCCACGAAGGCAUCCGAAUGGGAUUAAAGAUUUAUCGGUGAUGGAUGGGGAUGCGUCUGAUUAGCUUGUUGGCGGGGUGACGGCCCACCAAGGCAACGAUCAGUAGGGGUUCUGAGAGGAAGGUCCCCCACAUUGGAACUGAGACACGGUCCAAACUCCUACGGGAGGAAGCAGUGAGGAAUAUUGGUCAAUGGGCGAGAGCCUGAACCAGCCAAGUAGCGUGCAGGAUGACGGCCCUAUGGGUUGUAAACUGCUUUUAUAAGGGAAUAAAGUGGGUCACGUGUGACUUUUUGCAUGUACCUUAUGAAUAAGGACCGGCUAAUUCCGUG
Molecule: ribosomal RNA, 492 nt
Filed under: uncultured bacterium
Lineage: Bacteria
Description: partial 16S ribosomal RNA
Rfam family: Bacterial small subunit ribosomal RNA
Source: RNAcentral